Molecule: ribosomal RNA, 440 nt
Filed under: uncultured bacterium
Lineage: Bacteria
Description: bacterial SSU rRNA
Rfam family: Bacterial small subunit ribosomal RNA
Source: RNAcentral
CCUACGGGUGGCUGCAGUCGAGGAUCUUCGUCAAUGGGCGAAAGCCUGAACGAGCGACGCCGCGUGCGCGAUGAAGGCCUUCGGGUUGUAAAGCGCGAAAGUGGGGAGAAAGGGAAACUUGAUCGAUCCACAGUAAGGACGGGCUAAGUUCGUGCCAGCAGCCGCGGUAAGACGAACUGUCCUAACGUUGUUCGGAAUCACUGGGCUUAAAGGGCGCGUAGGCGGUCCGACAAGUCAGGGGUGAAAUCCUGCAGCUUAACUGCAGAAGUGCCUUUGAUACUGUCGGUCUGGAGGGAGAUAGGGGUGUGCGGAACUCACAGUGGAGCGGUGAAAUGCGUUGAUAUUGUGAGGAACGCCGGAGGCGAAAGCGGCGCACUGGAUCUCUUCUGACGCUGAGGCGCGAAAGCUAGGGGAGCAAACGGGAUUAGAUACCCUUGUAG